GGUCCCGUGGUCUAGUGGUUAUGACGUCUCGUUUACACCGAGAAGAUCGCAGGUUCGAUUCCUGUCGGGACCA
RNAcentral lists this transfer RNA (73 nucleotides) under Candidatus Pacearchaeota archaeon. RNAcentral's name for it is "tRNA-Val". It matches the Rfam family "tRNA". Rfam says of the family: Transfer RNA (tRNA) molecules are approximately 80 nucleotides in length. Their secondary structure includes four short double-helical elements and three loops (D, anti-codon, and T loops). Lineage: Archaea; Nanobdellati. RNAcentral also lists the same sequence under 1 other name. The record is from RNAcentral.